Molecule: long non-coding RNA, 397 nt
Organism: Humulus lupulus (European hop)
Lineage: Eukaryota; Viridiplantae; Streptophyta; Magnoliopsida; Rosales; Cannabaceae
Exons: 3
Source: RefSeq, a predicted model, not a curated record
AUGGAACUGAUAAAGAUCCACAGGCUUCUGGAGCAUAUGUCUUUCGUCCAAAUGGCACAUUUCCAAUCAAAUCCGAUAGCCAGGCUUCUCUAACUAUGGUUCGAGGUCCGGUACUGGAUGAAGUACACCAACGGCUCAAUCCAUGGAUAUCUUAGGUGAUUUGCUGCUCCAAAUAUAACAAGAUCAUACAGUUGUUUUAGACUUGAUAUAUCAAACUGUAAUUGGGUAGGAAUGAUUAGAUAACAUGUUUGGAAUUGUGUUCUCAACCUAGGGACAUUAUUCCUUAUAAUUUCAGUAACAAACCCAAAUGUAUGCACAGAUUACUAGGGUAUUCAAGGAAAAGGAGCACGCUGAAGUUGAGUUUACUGUAAGUUAACUUCUGAAAUUGAUCUACCAA